RNAcentral lists this ribosomal RNA (560 nucleotides) under Streptomyces hyderabadensis. RNAcentral's name for it is "bacterial SSU rRNA". It matches the Rfam family "Bacterial small subunit ribosomal RNA", at positions 98 to 672 of the family's 1533-position model. Lineage: Bacteria; Bacillati; Actinomycetota; Actinomycetes; Kitasatosporales; Streptomycetaceae. The record is from RNAcentral.
GCGAACGGGUGAGUAACACGUGGGCAAUCUGCCCUGCACUCUGGGACAAGCCCUGGAAACGGGGUCUAAUACCGGAUAUGACCCUCGCAGGCAUCUGUGAGGGUGUAAAGCUCCGGCGGUGCAGGAUGAGCCCGCGGCCUAUCAGCUUGUUGGUGAGGUAACGGCUCACCAAGGCGACGACGGGUAGCCGGCCUGAGAGGGCGACCGGCCACACUGGGACUGAGACACGGCCCAAACUCCUACGGGAGGCAGCAGUGGGGAAUAUUGCACAAUGGGCGAAAGCCUGAUGCAGCGACGCCGCGUGAGGGAUGACGGCCUUCGGGUUGUAAACCUCUUUCAGCAGGGAAGAAGCGAAAGUGACGGUACCUGCAGAAGAAGCGCCGGCUAACUACGUGCCAGCAGCCGCGGUAAUACGUAGGGCGCAAGCGUUGUCCGGAAUUAUUGGGCGUAAAGAGCUCGUAGGCGGCUUGUCGCGUCGGUUGUGAAAGCCCGGGGCUUAACCCCGGGUCUGCAGUCGAUACGGGCAGGCUAGAGUUCGGUAGGGGAGAUCGGAAUUCCUG